AAAGGGAGACCUAAUUCAGGUAUGGGACGAAAAAAAAGUAGUCGCUACCAAGAAUCAAUCCCAAAAGGUCGAAGCGAGGUAUGAGGCUUUCAAACUAGGUUCUGGGUUCAAACAAGACCUGAAUCAGGAACAAGGGCUAUUAGCUCAGGUGGUUAGAGCGCACCCCUGAUAAGGGUGAGGUCCCUGGUUCGAGUCCAGGAUGGCCCACCUGCACAGGUGGCAAAAAAAAGAAAAGAAGCGAGGAAUCAGCACCUUAUCUUAUCUAUAUAUAAGAGAGAAUGCUGGCUCUGAGUACAGAGUCCAGAGGAACCUUGAAAACUGCAUAGAGCUAGGUGAAAAAGCCAAAAAAGAAGACCGCAAG
RNAcentral lists this transfer RNA (361 nucleotides) under uncultured Microcystis sp. RNAcentral describes it as "partial 16S-23S ribosomal RNA intergenic spacer". The stretch from base 134 to 207 matches the Rfam family "tRNA". Lineage: Bacteria; Bacillati; Cyanobacteriota; Cyanophyceae; Chroococcales; Microcystaceae. The record is from RNAcentral.